Daphnia magna is the source of this 997-nucleotide long non-coding RNA. RefSeq lists it as uncharacterized. NCBI's taxonomy places the organism in Eukaryota, Metazoa, Arthropoda, Branchiopoda, Diplostraca, Daphniidae. The transcript has 3 exons. The record is from RefSeq and is a predicted model, not a curated record.
ACUGCAAAGAAUCACCGAAUCGUAUAACAGACCAAUCGUGCAACAUGGAAUAGUGAGAAAUAGAAUACUAUUCAGAGAUAGCUAGCUAAGUUUACCAUUUGCAGAGAAGACAUGAUGAUGAUGAUUGUUGUUGUUGUUGUUGUUGUCGGAUGAGGACUGGUGAUUUUAGAACCUGGUCGGAUGGCUUUUAUACCCAGCGAGUUAUGCUAGAACAGUGGGGAAGAAAAUUACGAUGACGGCUUCAACACAUAAUGCUCCCUCAAGCCUUUCUCCCGCCUCCCCUUUCUGACCGCAUGCAUCGUCGUUCGCCGUUUUUCGUAGCCGCGGGAUGGAGGUGCCCUCACUGGUAGGUUUUUAUUGCUUUGCCACCAAAGUAUACCAACGUCCUUAUGAUAGUUCGUUUUUUCGCGAAUUUUAUCCUGAGAGGGUACGACAUGGUAUUACGGUACAAAAGGAAGGAGCAUGGUUCAGAAAUCAGUUCAACAGACGAUAUAAACAUCAACAACUGCACAUUUGCAUCAACCUUGCAACAUUAAAGUUAAUUUUUUUUUACAUUGCUUAACCCUUGAUAAGAAUUUGAAAUUAUCCCAGAAAUAGAUUUCGAAGCAUUAGGAUAAAUAUGGUUAAAAUUCACAUGUUUAUACACCGUUAGCUAUAUUCGAGUAGAAGAAUUUCGGUUUCACAACCCAUUAAAGCGCAUGAUAACAUAACGAAGUAAGAAGCGCCUAACUACGAAUUAUUUAUGGACUAGUUUUAUGUUCAUUUGAUGUUGAUUCUGUACACUGUAAGAUAAAACAUUGAAUGAUUCUCUUUUCUCAAUUUAUUAGAGUGCGUCAAAUAUGUACAAUGUAUCGAAAGUUUCAACCAAACAUGUCCGUUUAGCAGGACGAAGUUAUAAGAAGAGACUCGAGUCGUUUAUUUUGGCAAAUAUAAAUGACAACCAUUUCAAACAGUUUUUAGUUACCUACCCGUAACACAAAUUCAUCAUAAAUGUGAA